RNAcentral lists this long non-coding RNA (1195 nucleotides) under Daucus carota (carrot). RNAcentral describes it as "long non-coding RNA (DCAR_LNC002861)". The record is from RNAcentral. Lineage: Eukaryota; Viridiplantae; Streptophyta; Magnoliopsida; Apiales; Apiaceae.
UUCGGCAGCUUGGAUGAUUUCUCUUGGCUGUCCGUAUGAUCUUCUCAAUACCGUUACCAAUACAUUCCUCCAAAUAAGAUUGUCGCGUUUCAGAAAGCUUUUAGUCUUUUCGACAAGGUGCGAUCUUUCCAAUACAUUAUACUUCAUGAUUAUGGUUAUGUGAUUAUUUAUGGAUUCACAGUAUAUAUUAUUAUGGUGUGGUUCAUAAUUUUCAUGAUUAAGUAUAAUGGUGUGGUGUGCUUGUAUCUAUUAGUGUAUGUGUUGUUUUGUAUCAUAUUUUGUCAUUUCUUGAUCAAUUUUGCCUAAUUCGGAGGAGAUUGGGUAUUUGUAAUCAUUUUUAUAUCAUAUGAUUAGUUACAUUUUUGAGUUUUGGAUUCGCAUUUUCGAUUUUAGUUUUCGCUAGUGUCCAUGAUGAAUGUUUGUGUUUUUCCGGUUCUUGCACGGUGACGGUGGAGGUGGUGUAAUGGUGCUUAAUUAGCGCGUGUUUUGAUAUUAGAUUAUUCUGAUUGACUUAUUUUGUUGCAUGAUUUUAGUUUAGAUUUGAAAAUUUGGAAUUUAUUUGAUUUUAAUAGUAGUAAAUGUAGGUCUUAAUUUUAGUUUUUGUGAAUGGCAAGUUGACUAUUUUAAUUUAUUUGGUUUUAAAAUUUGAAUUUUCUCUUCAUACUUUAAUUUGAACUUUUAUGUAGUAAUUAGAAGAUUAAUUAAAAGAUUCAAAUUUUGAAUCUUAUAAAUGAAUGCAUUUAAAUAUAUUUGUACCAUUUAUGGGUUAUUUGAAUUUUGAAUCUUGUAAAUGAAUGCAUUUUAAUAUAUAUACCAUUUUGGUGGCCGAGGGUGACGACGGCGACGGUAGUUCCGGGAUCAGCAUGCGAUCCGGUUUCAAAAAGGAAGGCGCUUCACUGUGCCUUAAUGAAGGCGUUAAUUGUGCCUCUUUAUUGAGGGUGUAAUUUGUGCUCCAUAAUUGAUGGAGUUAAAUGUGCCUUAUUUGAGGUGUUAAUUGGCCUUAAUUGAGGACGUUAAUUGUGUCUUAAUUAAGGGCGUUAAUAUUUUAUUAAUUGUACCUUAAUUAAGAGCUUAAUUGUCUCAAUUAUGAGUUAUCAUAAUUGUGGGAAUUUUUUGAUCAUCUCAUGCAAUAUACACGUGAUUUUAAUAUUAAUUAAUUAUUGGAUAUAUUAUCUUUUAUUUUUAUAAUAUAUAU